UGACUUUAUCUUUAAAGGGAGGCAUAAAUACAUAUAUCAUCACCUAUGAUACUGAACCUAAUAGUUACAAAAUAUUUUUGAACAGUUCACAUCAAGAAUUCUACAUGGCUAUGCACAAGAUUCAUUAUAGAGAUGAAAAUAAAAGCCCUGCCUAUGUUUAGAAUCUCAAGAACUGCCUUCAAUGUAUAAAGGAUAACAGAGGAAUAGUAUUCACAUUGGAAUAAAAACAAUUACUUGGAUGCAAUCUUUUUAGGAUUUCCUAAAAUCAUUAAGGGUUCUACUACUCCAACUCAGAAAUUGAACAAAUCUCACGUGUCUAAAAUAAUAAAUAAUGAAUUUUCAGGAGACAUGCUGAUUAAGGAAAUAAUAAGAAAAAAUGCCACUCAUUUUAAAGCUUUGGCAUAAACCAGAAGGUAAUGAAAUAAUGUCAUAAUAUCUAUGAACACUAAAUUUUGUUUUGUAGAAACUCUUUGAAGUGUAACUUUAAAAAGCUGAGUAGAUAGCUCAAUCUAAUGUGUUUUGAGCACAAGCAUGAGCAUCCGCGUUUGAUCCCCUGACCCAAGAAAUAAAUCCAGCUAUUGUGCCAUGAGUUUAUGAUUCGAGUAAGCGCCAUUGGGUCCCUCAUGCUCCCUGUACACCCUGAGAUCCAGAGCAGUGAAAGGGAAUAUUUUAAAUGUUUAGUAUCUGAGGAAUAUUAACAUAUGUUAGUCGGCAGCCUCCACAAGAGCACACAUAUGCACAAAACUGCACACACACACACACAUGAACCUGCACAAUCAUGUAUUCUUACAAAAACACACAAGGGAAUGCUACUGAAAUGAACUUCUUUUCAGACAAGAGAUGAAUUUACUAACUUAAGAAUCUCAUGGUAUGAACAUGGAAGUUAUGUUUUAAACAAAGUAACCAGAGGAGGAACAUUUAGGUAUUAGAGAAAGAGGGGGGAAAAGAUAAACAGAAAAAAAAUUGAAGGACUAUAUUUCACAUACAACUAAGUCAUCUAUAUAUCACACAUAAGUAAACUAAAAUAAUGGGUACUGGUGCCAAGAAAAUUGCCUGUGAAGGGUAUUGACUGGAGCUAAUCUGCUCUAUUGCUCACCUGUAUCCUUUUAAUCUCUAUUGAUCAUAGGUACCCCCAACUUUCCUUUAAGGGUGAAAUGCCUCUGUGCUAAGUUCUAAGAUAUUUUCUGAUUUUGAGCUGCAUUAUAUUUGUCUUAAUGUUUUUAUGAUUUAUUAACUAGCUAUAAGCUGGUCUCACUAUAUUUUAAAACUCAGGAUCACCAUUUUUCCAUGAUCUGCCUUGUAGCUUUAUUGAAUUUUCAUGUAUGAGCCUUCACCCAACUUUCUCUGUUAUCAAAAUAAACAGGGUAAUCAGUGGAUAAUAUACAUAAUAUAUGUCAAACAAAAAAUUUCAAUUGAUUCUUAUGUAUUUUAAUGUAAAAUUCUAACAUAAUUUUCAAAGGAUAUAAUAUUUGGAUAGGUCAUUUCUCUCUCUCUCUCUCUCUCUCUCUCUCUCUCUCUCUCUCUCUCUCUCUCUCUCUCUCUCUCCAUACAUGCACACACACAUACACACAUACACACACACACACAGAGACCUUCCUUCCACACUCAUAUUAAAAAAUAUCUUCACUAUUUCUUCUAUAUUGUAGUAUGAUUGUGAGUAGCCUUUUUGAUAAUUAUAAUUAUAUAAAGAAAGAGAAAUCCAAUAAUAGUUUUGCAGUUCUGUGUCUAGAAAACAAAAUGGUUAGAUUUAUAACAUAUAUGUUUCUAUAAUUCAGGGACUUACUAGUAAAACCACAAGAUAAGAUCAUGUAGGGAUCAAAAUGUUAUAGAUUCAUUGGGUAUGUUAAUAUCUUUGCAAUGACUUUAGAUAUGGCAUAAGUACAGAAUAAAAUUUCUCCAUAGGAGAACUUUGUUUCUAUCUAUCUAUCUAUCUAUCUAUCUAUCUAUCUAUCUAUCUAUCUAUCUAUCUAUCUACCUAUCUAUUUACAAGAUUUAUAAAUAGAAUGGUUAAUUUAAACAAGGAACUGAGUUAUGAGAAUAUUAAUUGAAUUAUCUGAGUUGUAAUUAUGUUAGCACAGUUAUUUUCCUUUCCUGAAUAUCUCUAGCCUGAAUAUUGUGUAUUAAAUUGGAUAUAAUUAUAAUAAAAUAUUUCUGUGCUUUUAAUGAAACUUGUCAUUUUAUAUACAUAUGAUUUAUCAAUGCUGGCUCACAAUAACCCAAUAAACUAAAAUUAU
Molecule: long non-coding RNA, 2234 nt
Filed under: Mus musculus (house mouse)
Lineage: Eukaryota; Metazoa; Chordata; Mammalia; Rodentia; Muridae
Description: long non-coding RNA chrX:83932957-83935191
Source: RNAcentral